CGAACUCUUCGGAGUUAGUGGCAGACGGGUGAGUAACGCGUGGGAACCUACCUUUAGGUACGGAACAACAGUUGGAAACGACUGCUAAUACCGUAUGAGCCCUAUGGGGGAAAGAUUUAUCGCCUAAGGAUGGGCCCGCGUUGGAUUAGCUAGUUGGUGGGGUAAAGGCCUACCAAGGCGACGAUCCAUAGCUGGUCUGAGAGGAUGAUCAGCCACACUGGGACUGAGACACGGCCCAGACUCCUACGGGAGGCAGCAGUGGGGAAUAUUGGACAAUGGGGGCAACCCUGAUCCAGCCAUGCCGCGUGAGUGAUGAAGGCCCUAGGGUUGUAAAGCUCUUUCAGCGAGGAGGAUAAUGACGUUACUCGCAGAAGAAGCCCCGGCUAACUUCGUGCCAGCAGCCGCGGUAAUACGGAGGGGGUUAGCGUUGUUCGGAAUUACUGGGCGUAAAGCGUACGUAGGCGGACCAUUAAGUUGGGGGUGAAAUCCCGGGGCUCAACCCCGGAACUGCCUCCAAAACUGCUGGUCUUGAGUUCGAGAGAGGUGAGUGGAAUUCCGAGUGUAGAGGUGAAAUUCGUAGAUAUUCGGAGGAACACCAGUGGCGAAGGCGG
This 611-nucleotide ribosomal RNA is filed under the name uncultured bacterium. RNAcentral describes it as "bacterial SSU rRNA". It matches the Rfam family "Bacterial small subunit ribosomal RNA", at positions 67 to 724 of the family's 1533-position model. The record is from RNAcentral.